RNAcentral lists this ribosomal RNA (889 nucleotides) under Rhodococcus phenolicus. RNAcentral describes it as "bacterial SSU rRNA". It matches the Rfam family "Bacterial small subunit ribosomal RNA", at positions 79 to 982 of the family's 1533-position model. Lineage: Bacteria; Bacillati; Actinomycetota; Actinomycetes; Mycobacteriales; Nocardiaceae. The record is from RNAcentral.
CUUGCUGGGUGGAUUAGUGGCGAACGGGUGAGUAACACGUGGGUGAUCUGCCCUGCACUUCGGGAUAAGCCUGGGAAACUGGGUCUAAUACCGGAUAUGACCAAAGGCUGCAUGGUUUUUGGUGGAAAGUUUUUCGGUGCAGGAUGAGCCCGCGGCCUAUCAGCUUGUUGGUGGGGUAAUGGCCUACCAAGGCGACGACGGGUAGCCGGCCUGAGAGGGCGACCGGCCACACUGGGACUGAGACACGGCCCAGACUCCUACGGGAGGCAGCAGUGGGGAAUAUUGCACAAUGGGCGAAAGCCUGAUGCAGCGACGCCGCGUGAGGGAUGACGGCCUUCGGGUUGUAAACCUCUUUCAGCAGGGACGAAGCGAAAGUGACGGUACCUGCAGAAGAAGCACCGGCCAACUACGUGCCAGCAGCCGCGGUAAUACGUAGGGUGCGAGCGUUGUCCGGAAUUACUGGGCGUAAAGAGCUCGUAGGCGGUUUGUCGCGUCGUCUGUGAAAUCCCGCAGCUCAACUGCGGGCUUGCAGGCGAUACGGGCAAACUUGAGUACUGCAGGGGAGACUGGAAUUCCUGGUGUAGCGGUGAAAUGCGCAGAUAUCAGGAGGAACACCGGUGGCGAAGGCGGGUCUCUGGGCAGUAACUGACGCUGAGGAGCGAAAGCGUGGGUAGCGAACAGGAUUAGAUACCCUGGUAGUCCACGCCGUAAACGGUGGGCGCUAGGUGUGGGUUUCCUUCCACGGGAUCCGUGCCGUAGCUAACGCAUUAAGCGCCCCGCCUGGGGAGUACGGCCGCAAGGCUAAAACUCAAAGGAAUUGACGGGGCCCGCACAAGCGGCGGAGCAUGUGGAUUAAUUCGAUGCAACGCGAAGAACCUUACCUGGGUUU